AUAUAAGAUUUAACCUGCCCACUGAAUAAUUGAAUGGCCGCGGUAUUUUGACCGUGCAAAGGUAGCAUAAUAAUUAGUUUUUUGAUUGAAAGCUGGAAUGAAUGGUUGGACGAGAAAAUUACUGUCUCUAAUUAAAUUUAAAUAAAACUUUAUUUUUAAGUUAAAAAGCUUAAAUGUUAAUGAAAGACGAGAAGACCCUAUAGAGUUUUAUAAUUGUUAUGAAAAUAUAAUUUUAAGUAUUUAGAUUUUGUUUUCUAAAAAUUAUUUUAUUGGGGUGAUAAAAAGAUUUAAUAAACUCUUUUUUUAUUUAUACAUUUAUAUAUGAUUAUUUGAUCCAUUUUUUGUGAUUAUAAGAAUAAAUUACCUUAGGGAUAACAGCGUAAUCUUUUUAGAGAGUUCUUAUCGAAAUAAGGGAUUGCGACCUCGAUGUUGGAUUAAAGUUAAUUCUUGGUGUAGAAGCUUGGAAAUUGAGUCUGUUCGACUUUUAAAACUUUACAUGAUCUGAGUUUAAACCGGUGUGAGCCAGGUUGGUUUCUAUCUUUAUUUAGUUAAAAUGUCUUAGUACGAAAGGACCAA
RNAcentral lists this ribosomal RNA (576 nucleotides) under Hydora subaenea. Its description in RNAcentral is "partial large subunit ribosomal RNA". It matches the Rfam family "Bacterial large subunit ribosomal RNA", at positions 1845 to 2695 of the family's 2925-position model. Lineage: Eukaryota; Metazoa; Arthropoda; Insecta; Coleoptera; Elmidae. The record is from RNAcentral.